GGUGAUUGGUGUGCAGCCGGUCGCCCUCAAGGCCCGUGGUGUCAGGGAAGCCGGUGCGAUUCCGGCGCGGUCCCGCCACUGUGACCGGGGAGUCCGUCCUCGCAGGACACGCCACUGACGGUGCAGAAGCCGUCGGGAAGGCAUGAGGGCGCGCGCUGAUCCGGGAGUCAGGAUACCGGCCGCGGGAUGUUCCGUGUUU
This 199-nucleotide non-coding RNA is filed under the name Streptomyces sp. KY70. Lineage: Bacteria; Bacillati; Actinomycetota; Actinomycetes; Kitasatosporales; Streptomycetaceae. RNAcentral also lists the same sequence under 1 other name. The record is from RNAcentral.